This 300-nucleotide ribosomal RNA is filed under the name uncultured bacterium. RNAcentral's name for it is "bacterial SSU rRNA". It matches the Rfam family "Bacterial small subunit ribosomal RNA", at positions 794 to 1085 of the family's 1533-position model. The record is from RNAcentral.
UCCUGGCCCUAAACGAUGCACACUAGGUGGGGGAGGGUCUGACGCCCAUCCCCGCCGCAGAGAAAUCGUUAAGUGUGCCGCCUGGGGAGUACGGUCGCAAGGCUAAAACUCAAAGGAGUUGACGGGGGCUCACACAAGCGGUGGAGCAUGUGGCUCAAUUCGAGGCAACGCGAAGAACCUUAUCCUGGGCUUGACAUGCAGGUAGUAGAACCCCGAAAGGGGAACGACCGGUUCAGCCCGGAGCCUGCACAGGUGCUGCAUGGCUGUCGUCAGCUCGUGCUGUGAAGUGUCGGGUUAAGU